Dreissena polymorpha is the source of this 310-nucleotide long non-coding RNA. RefSeq lists it as uncharacterized. Lineage: Eukaryota; Metazoa; Mollusca; Bivalvia; Myida; Dreissenidae. The transcript is spliced from 5 exons. The record is from RefSeq and is a predicted model, not a curated record.
UGUCAUUGGAUAGAUUUGAUAGCAAAAAUUUGCAGUCAACAGUUUACCUUUUGUCUCAUUUACAUGAGGAUCACACAGUUGGAUUGGGGGAGCCAUUAUUCUUUCGUCGACUAAAAUCUAACACUGGAGUGUUUUUGUAUUGUUCUGAAGUAACAGAAGCCCUCCUGCUAGCAAGUCGAAAGUAUUGCCAUCUGAAGCCAUACAUUAAAUGUCUGCCAAUCAACACACCAACAACAAUAGAAAUACCAGAACCACUAUAUGACCAUAAUGAAUGCAUCACAGUCACCCUGCUUCCUGCCUUUCACUGUCC